This 520-nucleotide ribosomal RNA is filed under the name Eulamprus quoyii. RNAcentral describes it as "partial 16S ribosomal RNA". It matches the Rfam family "Bacterial large subunit ribosomal RNA", at positions 1818 to 2593 of the family's 2925-position model. The record is from RNAcentral. Lineage: Eukaryota; Metazoa; Chordata; Lepidosauria; Squamata; Scincidae.
GCCUUUAGCAUAACAAGUAUUAAAGGUCCUGCCUGCCCAGUGAAACUUUUCAACGGCCGCGGUAUUCUAACCGUGCAAAGGUAGCGUAAUCAUUUGUCUUCUAAAUUAAGACCAGUAUGAAUGGCUAAAUGAGGAUAAAACUGUCUCCUGCAACCUAUCAGUGAAAUUGAUCUCCCAGUCCAAAAGCUGGGAUAUUUACAUAAGACGAGAAGACCCUGUGGAGCUUAAAACACACACGCUAAUACACAAACCACGUUCAUGGCAAGGGGGUUUAAGUUGGGGCGACUUCGGAAUAAAAAAAAACUUCCGAGCACAGGACCACAAUUUCUAACCAAGGUAAACAAACCAAGGCAAAAAUUGACCCAGUCAAACUGAUCAACGAACCAAGUUACCCCAGGGAUAACAGCGCCAUCUUCUUCAAGAGUCCAUAUCGACAAGAAGGUUUACGACCUCGAUGUUGGAUCAGGGCACCCAAAUGGUGCAACCGCUAUUAAAGGUUCGUUUGUUCAACGAUUAACAG